Eucalyptus grandis is the source of this 1528-nucleotide long non-coding RNA. RefSeq lists it as uncharacterized. The transcript has 4 exons. The record is from RefSeq and is a predicted model, not a curated record. Lineage: Eukaryota; Viridiplantae; Streptophyta; Magnoliopsida; Myrtales; Myrtaceae.
CCGCUCGCCUCUGUCGCUCUCCUCCGCCACUCGCCGCCUCUGCCACUCGCCUCCGCCACUUGCCGCCGCGGCUAGCCUCCGAGUCGCCUCCGCCGCCCGCCUCUGGCUCUGAGGCUCGCCUCCGUCGCUCCCUCGAAGGUCGACGAGCUCUGUCACCCACCUCCUUGGCUCUCCUCCGCGGCUCGCCUCCGAGUUGCCUCCGCCGCCCGCCUCUGAGGCUCGCCUCCGCCGCUCCCUCGAAGGUCGACGAGUUUCGUCGACCACACCCACGAGCUCCAGCUCCUCGUCCUCCAGAAGACCCACAACCUCAACCGCUUGUUAGUUUUGUUUUUCAGAUUCCGAUCGGUGGGACGAGGAUUCCGAUCCAGUAGAGAUCCGUGCGUUUCCAUGUCUCUCUGUGCAGGCCCCGCUGGAGCUCGAGAUCUUUACAGAAAUCAAAUGAGAUGGAACUUAAGGCUUCGUGGGAUCAGUACAUGGAUGCAAAUGAUCGGUGGAAAAAUAGCGAUGCUCAGAUUCAGGGCAUUUGAACUUCUAUCCUAUGCAGAGUGGCCUUUUGAAGCGCAUCAAAGAGAAGGAAGAUGAGCAUGACUCAUUCGAACUUCAAAUAUCUAAUGUUGAUCUAUCUCAUAUAGAUGAGAGGGAGCAGAGCAUGUGAAUUGAGGUUGAGAGGAAAACAAACCAGCUUGCUGGAAGAGAAUUUGAAUCUAACAUACGGCAGAAGCAGAGUGAGAUUUACAACAAUGAGCAAAAAAUUGAGGCCUUUCCUCACGAGGGCGACCGGUUCUUGCUGCCAGCGCUUCGUUUGAGCAAGAGGGUGGCGAGUCUGUCGAUUCUUGCGGUCCUGCUAAAUGGGUGUGGCCCAAGCGCCUCGGUGGCGACGUUGCGACAAGAAGUGGAGCUGGAGAGGUACACAGACUCUUCACUCUCCUCAAACCUUCUUCUUGGGGCAAUCGAUUAUUUGGUAGAUAAUUUGGUUUUUGGUAGAGUUGCUGAGAAUUGUGUCUUAUUGAGGGGAAACAUUGAAGUGAAGUAUCUUUCUGCAGUGCUGAAGAAUUAUUCCUUCGUAUGCAUGGUGACAGUAUGAAUUUCUUACUCAAAAGGCUGGAAAUGUUAGCUUCAUAUCUUAAUCAAGAUGAUGAACUCAUUUGUGAGUAAAUAAUUUGACCUCAAUAGUAUGCUCACUUUAAAUAAGAGAAGCAUGUGCAUAGUCUAAAUCUUCAUAAAUAGAAGAAGAAAGCUGUCUGCACGGCAUGUGCUGCAAGAUUAUCCUCAAAAUCUAGUAACAGGACGGGCCACUUAAAGAGGCACCAACACAGAUACAUCUCUGAAAUGGCCAAACCGGGGGUAGGUGUUUGCUGUGAUGAUAAGAUGUAUGUCUGAUCAGUUUGGUAUCUUCAAUUUUUAGGUUGUACUUUUUCUAUGAGAUGCAUUUGUCUAAAUCUGAGUUUCAUGUAUUUUCAUUUCAACAAUUGAAAUUUGUGGGGUGUGAUUUGAUUUUAUAAUAAGAAACAUUCUUUUUUUUGUCUAA